UACGUAGGCAGCAAGCGUUGUUCGGAUUUACUGGGCGUAAAGAGCUCGUAGGUGGUUUGUCGCGUUGUUCGUGAAAACCGGGGGCUUAACCCUCGGCGUGCGGGCGAUACGGGCAGACUUGAGUACUGCAGGGGAGACUGGAAUUCCUGGUGUAGCGGUGAAAUGCGCAGAUAUCAGGAGGAACACCGGUGGCGAAGGCGGGUCUCUGGGCCUUACCUGACGCUGAGACGCGAAAGCGUGGGGAGCGAACCGG
This 253-nucleotide ribosomal RNA is filed under the name uncultured bacterium. RNAcentral describes it as "partial 16S ribosomal RNA". It matches the Rfam family "Bacterial small subunit ribosomal RNA", at positions 524 to 776 of the family's 1533-position model. The record is from RNAcentral.